AAGGCCGUACCAUGCUGAAUAUACCGGUUCUCGUUAGAUCACCGAAGUUAAGCAUCAUUGGGCGCGGUCAGUACUUGGGUGGGUGACCACCUGGGAACACUGCGUGCCGU
RNAcentral lists this ribosomal RNA (110 nucleotides) under Caerostris darwini. Lineage: Eukaryota; Metazoa; Arthropoda; Arachnida; Araneae; Araneidae. The record is from RNAcentral.